UGAGGAAUAUUGGUCAAUGGGCGAGAGCCUGAACCAGCCAAGUCGCGUGAAGGAAGACUGCCCGCAAGGGUUGUAAACUUCUUUUGUAUGGGAUUAAAGUCACCUACGUGUAGGUGUCCGCAGUUACCAUACGAAUAAGCAUCGGCUAACUCCGUGCCAGCAGCCGCGGUAAUACGGAGGAUGCGAGCGUUAUCCGGAAUUAUUGGGUUUAAAGGGUGCGUAGGUUGCAAGGGAAGUCAGGGGUGAAAAGCUGUAGCUCAACUAUGGUCUUGCCUUUGAAACUCUCUAGCUAGAGUGUACUGGAGGUACGUGGAACGUGUGGUGUAGCGGUGAAAUGCAUAGAUAUCACACAGAACUCCGAUUGCGCAGGCAGCGUACUACAUUACAACUGACACUGAAGCACGAAAGCGUGGGUAUCAAACAGG
RNAcentral lists this ribosomal RNA (425 nucleotides) under Fusobacteriota bacterium. RNAcentral's name for it is "Fusobacteria bacterium partial 16S ribosomal RNA". It matches the Rfam family "Bacterial small subunit ribosomal RNA", at positions 355 to 776 of the family's 1533-position model. The record is from RNAcentral. Lineage: Bacteria; Fusobacteriati; Fusobacteriota.